Molecule: long non-coding RNA, 1033 nt
Filed under: Cairina moschata (Muscovy duck)
Lineage: Eukaryota; Metazoa; Chordata; Aves; Anseriformes; Anatidae
Description: domestica (muscovy Duck (domestic type)) lncRNA (ENSCMMG00000000488.1)
Source: RNAcentral
AUGGCAACAAGCUGGGAGGAGUGGCUGAUAAGCCAGAGGGACCUGGACAAGCUGGAGAACUGGGCUGAUAGGAACUUCAUAAAGCUCAACACGGAGAAGUGCAGAGUCCUGCACCUGGGAAGGAACAUCCCUAGGCACCAGGACGUGCUGGUGGCCACACAGCUGAAAGGCAGCCUUGCGGAAAUGGACCUGGGAGACACCAAACGGAACACAAGUCAGCAAUGUGCCCUUUGCUGCCAACAGGACUGCAUCAGGCAAAGGACUGCCAGCAGGUCAAGGGAGGCGAUCCUUCCCCUCUGCUCAGUACAGACCUCCUUAAUUGUGCUCCCUGUGAUUAAACAACGCUUUGAAGACAUCUCUAGAAGUUGUUUCUUCCACGCAGGAAUGUCGCCUGCCGGGUUCGUAGCCUUUGGCUCUGGGUGUAAGGAGCUCGUUUGGCAAGGCAGCCGGGGACAGCACCGCCUGGGUGCUCCCAUGUCCCCAACCUCCUCGGGGCACAGCCUCCACCAGAAGGUCAGGGCCACCAGAAGGCCAGGAGGGGACCGUAGGCCGGGCAGGGAUGUGAGGAUGAUGGAUUUCCAGGGAUGUGCUGCUCAUCCCUGCACCAGAGGUAGGCGUUUUGGGCAGGAUGGGCGCUGGCACAGGGUGAGCUGUCCCAGCCUGCGCCCUCCCGACGGGGUGGAGGAGGAAAGUCCCCGUGGAUGGAGGCAAGCGAUCGCCUGAAUAUUCAUGUAUCGGCAGGCAAGCUACAGCAGGCCCUCGUUACAAACUGCUACCCAAACUGCUUACAUCCAUAAACGAGGGAAAUAAAUAAACAGAUGCUUGUUAAUUGACUUAAUUACCAACCAGCAAACAGGAGACCGGGAGCACAUCAAUAAAAGUGUUUUAAAAAGCAACCCGUAGUAAUUCUUUUCCAUAUGCAAACCACGCCGGUCUCUUCUGUCUACAAUAGACUCCCCAAAGACGAGAAAUGGAUUUUCAUUAUGUGGGAAGGAGAGAUCAAAGUCUGAAAAUUAGGGUUGUAGCCCAAAAU